AUUUUUUUUUUACACGCAGAGAAAUUGGUGACAAACAGAAGUACUGAAUCGAAUAGUAAAAUGAAGUUACAAAGUUUCUAGUUUGAAAUACUUGACCCUUGUUAUCUUUACGACUAAUUACUCAUUCCUACUAAUCGUAUGUUUCAUUAUAUUAUUUGAUUAAUGUAGCUUACAAAAAAAUAUAAUUGAACAAAAACAUCAAUAAUUUAUGUAUCAUGAACAAGAAUUCUGUUAAUAUUUAUAUAAUGUAUUGUAAGUAAUAAGAAACAGAGAUUCGCAAUUACUAAAUGAUCCAAUUACGGUUAAUGAUUUACAAUGUUACUGGUAGACUACGAGUGUGUUUGUAAUCAAAACAAUAAUAUUUUUAUUACAACUACAUUAUUGUUUGCAGUACAUAUCGUUCGUAGCGUCACUUAAAAAUCGUUUAGUUUGGUUUACCCUUUAUGUAGUGUUAGGCCUUAACAAGACUAUUAUAGUAAAAACCGCACCGGAAACAGUAAACGGUACAAUGCAUGUAUUACUCCGUGCUAUUUGUUAGUGUGUUUUAAAAUAUUAUAAAAUAAUAAUGUUACAAUAACAAUCGAGGUGGUAUUCAUAGCAAAGUAUCUUGUACUGUUUAUCGAAAACUGUGUUUUUGUAAACAAACUCGCGCGCUCGCAUCCCGCCCCGCCACCGCCACCCGCACCCGAGCCGGCGUCCGGCUUGGCGGCCAUUGUGUUUUGACCAGCGAGCGAGCGCAGUAUUGCAGAUUGAAUUUGAAGUGUUUUUCGCCUUUUUGGGUUAUUAUUACAAAACCAGUGACGAGAUGGAUGAUGACAUUGACCAAGACGUCCCUCAGUUAUUAAAGCAGUGGGGUUUACCCCAAUAUAUUCAUACUUUUCAAGCCGUUGAAAAAUCUACUCUUAAAAUCGAAUGAAGGACAAGGCCUGCUAAAUUUAUAUUCAGAACAAGGCAAAUUAUCAAAUAAUGGGCGAAGAAAAGUUUGCAAUAUAAUAAUAAAAGACCUAAUGCAAUCAGACCCAAAUAAAAGAAUAGACAGUUCUCUACUUCUUACAAAAGCACAAGAAAUAACUGAAGUAUUCAAAAAGGAAAAUAUAAGUACUUACUUUAUUCCAUACAUUAAUGAUACUAAACUUAAAAUAAAAAGAUGUGCAAAAGGCAAAUUAUAUGACUGUCUACAAAACAGGCGCCGCGAAUUAAGGGAGGCUAAGGUUAUUAAAAAGAAAAAUGGCAGCAACAUCAACAAUAACAGCAACGAGCCAGAAGUCGUCGAAGAAGGCAAGUUUUAAGUUAUCUACCUGGGUUUUUAUUUUUUUUAAUAGCCAAAUGUGAUCCCACUGUUGGAUUAGAGCAUCUCCCAAAUAGGUUAUUAAUUGUAUUCAAACCUCAAAAGGAAAAACCGGCCAAGUGCGAGUCGGACUCGUGCACGAAGGGUUCCGUAAAUUACAGUUAAAUCAACCUAUCUCAAAAACUAUAAGAGAUACUUUGAUCAAACCAAAAAUCGUUGAAAGAGUUAAUUAGCAUGCAUCACCUCUAUUUUUUUUAGAAUUUUAUACCCCGUAGUUAUAAAAAUAGAGGGGGGGGGACAUACUUUUUACGACUUUGAGAGCUGAUAUCUCAAAAACCGUUCACUUUAAGAAAAAUGUUUUUUAGAAAACUUUAUAUCAUUUUAAAAGACCUUUCCAUUGAUACCCCACACGGGUAUGUACAUCGAAAAAAAAAAUUUCAUCCCUCAGUUACAUGUAUGGGGGGCCCCACCCCCAAUUCUUUUUUUUACUAUUUAGUGUCAUAUUUUUGUAGCGGUUCAUACAACACAUAUUCCCAUCAAAUUUCAUCACUGUAGUACUUAUAGUUUCCGAGUAAAUCGGCUGUGACAGACGGACAGACGGACAGACGGACAGACGGACAGACGGACAGACGGACAUGACGAAACUAUAAGGGUUCCGUUUUUGCCAUUUUGGCUACGGAACCCUAAAAAAGGACAACUGUGUUGUUUGUCUGACUGCCUUUCCUUGGCCUCUUUCCAGCAACUUUAAUAACUUGCAGUUUCAUCAUCCUCCUAACGUUUGGCCCACCUUUCUGACACGGUUCAAUUGAACCUGGGGUCCGCUUGACAACCUAAUCCCAUGAUUUGGCAUGACACUAGUUAAUUACAUUAAUAACUUGCAACUUAUUUUACUAAAUUAAAUUAUUUUGAAGUCUUUAUUUCAUGAUUUUUUAUGAGUCCAUGUAUCUUUCCAGAUGGUGUUGCAGAUGAAGAUAUCCAGUGGCUCCAAAACUGUACAGAACCCUGGCAUUUAGUGAUAGAGAAGUGGCAAAAAACUUCCAAAAAUAGAUUGAAGGAAAUAGAGACUUCAGAAAUGACCAUCGGAGCAUACAUUAAUAAAUAUCCAGUGUUAAAAACGCCACGCGGGCAUGAGCUUCUUAUUGAAGAUUUAAGAAGGGCCCUAUUAGAGCCUGUUCACACUAGCAUUAAUAUCGCCGCGAGCACGCGGCGAGCAAGCUGCGAUAUCACACACAUAUAAAGUUUGCUCGCGGCGAUAUUAUUGCGAUAAAAUAAUCGCCGCGAUACCGCGACGACCCGCGGCGAGCUCGUUGCGUGCACGCCGCGAUCUCGCAUCGCCGAAAAGAAUCGCUAGUGUGAACAGGCUCUAAUAGGGCCCCAUACUUUACAAGUUGAAUGUAGAAAUGAUAAGUAUAAGGGACGUCGACGCUGAAAAGACGCCUGAACGGAUAGCAUGAUCGCGCGAAAAGUGAUAAAACAUCUCCCUAUCGCACUAUUAGUAAGUGCGAUAGGGACGGAUGUUUUAUCGCGCGAUCAUGCUACCAAUGCAGAUGUGAGGGGCCGUAAUGUGUAAGUGUAAUUUCUACGGACCAAUGAUUGUGAUGAUUAUAUUAAAAUAAAUGUCAUUUUUCUCUGUA
Helicoverpa armigera (cotton bollworm) is the source of this 2922-nucleotide long non-coding RNA. RefSeq lists it as uncharacterized. The transcript is spliced from 2 exons. NCBI's taxonomy places the organism in Eukaryota, Metazoa, Arthropoda, Insecta, Lepidoptera, Noctuidae. The record is from RefSeq and is a predicted model, not a curated record.